Molecule: long non-coding RNA, 503 nt
Filed under: Zonotrichia albicollis (white-throated sparrow)
Lineage: Eukaryota; Metazoa; Chordata; Aves; Passeriformes; Passerellidae
Description: lncRNA (ENSZALG00000008814.1)
Source: RNAcentral
GCUGAAAUACAGCACAAGAAAAACACUAUUCCAGGUGUAACAGUUGAGUUGAUGGCCAAGGAAUCACACAUCACUGUUUGCUUUGAGCAAGCAAAUUUCUGUCCUGAAGAAAUUUAUGGCAUCUCGGAUCAAAAUGAGCCACCAAAACACUGGUGUGGCAUCCUGAAUUGUGGAGAAAACGGAGGAGGUAACAUCAGUACUGAGUACAAGACUGUUUGCUGUGAAGCAGAGGCAGAUGUCUGGCGCCACAACCCUGACCUGAAGUGCUACAUUCAGGAGUCACAUCCAAAACACACUGCACUGGCAGGUGCCAUUCCUGGUAAUCCUGAAUUUCUCACCAGCAAAAAGAGCAGCCUUGGCAUCUUGCUGUCAUUCCUGUUUGUUGGGGUUUGCACAGGAUGGGGCACCAUGUAUUACUUCUUGCGGCUGCGGCGUCGCCAAGGUACAGUCUGACAAAUUGUGUGUUGCCCGUGGGUCCCAUACCUGGAAGGGGGAAAAGCAUA